AUGGCCUCGCUACAGCUUAUAGUGUUAGUCGAGCGACUGAUUAGAAGCUUGCUUCUAUGACGUUAGCGGCGGACGGGUGAGUAACACGUGGGCAACCUGCCUGUAAGACUGGGAUAACUUCGGGAAACCGAAGCUAAUACCGGAUAGGAUCUUCUCCUUCAUGGGAGAUGAUUGAAAGAUGGUUUCGGCUAUCACUUACAGAUGGGCCCGCGGUGCAUUAGCUAGUUGGUGAGGUAACGGCUCACCAAGGCAACGAUGCAUAGCCGACCUGAGAGGGUGAUCGGCCACACUGGGACUGAGACACGGCCCAGACUCCUACGGGAGGCAGCAGUAGGGAAUCUUCCGCAAUGGACGAAAGUCUGACGGAGCAACGCCGCGUGAGUGAUGAAGGCUUUCGGGUCGUAAAACUCUGUUGUUAGGGAAGAACAAGUACGAGAGUAACUGCUCGUACCUUGACGGUACCUAACCAGAAAGCCACGGCUAACUACGUGCCAGCAGCCGCGGUAAUACGUAGGUGGCAAGCGUUAUCCGGAAUUAUUGGGCGUAAAGCGCGCGCAGGCGGUUUCUUAAGUCUGAUGUGAAAGCCCACGGCUCAACCGUGGAGGGUCAUUGGAAACUGGGGAACUUGAGUGCAGAAGAGAAAAGCGGAAUUCCACGUGUAGCGGUGAAAUGCGUAGAGAUGUGGAGGAACACCAGUGGCGAAGGCGGCUUUUUGGUCUGUAACUGACGCUGAGGCGCGAAAGCGUGGGGGAGCAACCGGAUUAGAUGUCCUGGUAAUCCACGCCCAAAACGAUGAGUGCUAAGUGUUAAAGCGCUUCCCCCCCCUACUGCAGCAGCUUACCCAUUUACACUCC
This 854-nucleotide ribosomal RNA is filed under the name Priestia aryabhattai. Its description in RNAcentral is "bacterial SSU rRNA". It matches the Rfam family "Bacterial small subunit ribosomal RNA", at positions 36 to 870 of the family's 1533-position model. The record is from RNAcentral. Lineage: Bacteria; Bacillati; Bacillota; Bacilli; Caryophanales; Bacillaceae.